UACGUAGGGGGCAAGCGUUGUCCGGAAUCAUUGGGCGUAAAGAGCGCGUAGGCGGCCCGGUAAGUCCGCUGUAAAAGUCCAGGGCUCAACCCUGGAAAGCCGGUGGAUACUGUCGGGCUAGAGUCCGGAAGAGGCGAGUGGAAUUCCUGGUGUAGCGGUGGAAUGCGCAGAUAUCAGGAGGAACACCGGUGGCGAAGGCGGAUCUCUGGGCCAUUACUGACGCUGAGGAGCGAAAGCGUGGGGAGCGAACAGG
This 253-nucleotide ribosomal RNA is filed under the name uncultured bacterium. RNAcentral describes it as "partial 16S ribosomal RNA". It matches the Rfam family "Bacterial small subunit ribosomal RNA", at positions 524 to 776 of the family's 1533-position model. The record is from RNAcentral.